GCUGGAGUUGACAGUGUGUGAGAUGUUGUAUGCUAGAAAGACAGCACUACAUUUGACUGUACCAAGUACUCGUAUGUCUUAACUUUGUGUACAAUUGUCCACAUUCAGAGUAAUAAAUGUUAUGUUCAAGUGUUACUGUUGAAUCACAGAUUUAUUUUAUUUGGCUUGCUCCUUCCACUACAGUAGAGAGCACCAAGUAUCAAGUGAAACUUAGUAUUUGAAGUUGUGUUGCUCCAAAGCUAAACAUGAAGCAGCUUGGAAUUUAUGAAAAACUUCAUUAUAUCUCAUGUUACAUGAAUUCUGAGAACAUCUAUCAUGAAUUAAUAAGAAUUCAUUUAGUAAAUAUGGAAAACAACUAAUAAAAACUAUGA
This is a long non-coding RNA of Schistocerca americana (American grasshopper), 371 nucleotides long. RefSeq lists it as uncharacterized. Lineage: Eukaryota; Metazoa; Arthropoda; Insecta; Orthoptera; Acrididae. The record is from RefSeq and is a predicted model, not a curated record. The transcript is spliced from 2 exons.